Molecule: ribosomal RNA, 23 nt
Filed under: Brugia malayi
Lineage: Eukaryota; Metazoa; Nematoda; Chromadorea; Rhabditida; Onchocercidae
Description: partial 18S ribosomal RNA
Source: RNAcentral
UUGGUGAACCUGCGGAAGGAUCC